This is a long non-coding RNA of Carassius gibelio (silver crucian carp), 3325 nucleotides long. RefSeq lists it as uncharacterized. Lineage: Eukaryota; Metazoa; Chordata; Actinopteri; Cypriniformes; Cyprinidae. The record is from RefSeq and is a predicted model, not a curated record. The transcript has 5 exons.
AUAUUUCUCUGGUGCUGCAAUCGCCAGUUCAGCAAUAGCUGCACUCUGCACGAUUGUGUUCCGGUCAACACCAUACUUCCGGAAAGCUUCUGCCAUGUUGCUCCCUCUUUUGAAAAACUCCAGGACUGAUUUGUACCGCUUUACCACCUGCCAUGGAUCAGUAACUAAGACAGUAAAAAAAAAAAAAAAAAAAAUAUUUCGGCAAUUGUUAUGUUUCUAGUAAUCACAUUUUAAGAACCCAUUCCAUUCAUGUGUUUAAUGGUAAACUACACAACACAGAUUACAAAACACAAGUUUUCCAUUCCUGGUAUAUUAAAAAAAACUAUUAUUUCAAUUUGCACAACCUACCCCUUUGACAGAAUUUUCUCAUUUGCUUGUUUUUUUUCUGUUUUUUCACUCUUUUCUUUGCUUUCUUUCCCUUCUUCUUUCUUUUCUUCUUCUCCCUCGAAGAGUCUGAGCUAGAUGACUCUGAGUCAGAAGACUCAGAAGAGUCAGAAUCAGUGGAGUCACUUUCUGAAUCGAUUUUCAUUAUUUUGGGGAUGUCUGCAGGCUUAUCUUUAAUUCUGUCAGGAAUGUUGUUGUCCAUUUUGAUGGCUUUAAUCGGGGAAGAAAAAAAAAAACAGUUAAAAGUCAUAUUCUGUAUGCCUGCAUUUGUGACUAUAGGUUACAUGUUAACUUCACUCCAAAUGACAAAAAAAAGUCCAUAUCAACAUCACCACUGCCUGUUACAUCUACCUUAGUUCAGUUUAAUACGUGGGUUUACCAGAUUUACCACAUUUUAUGUAUUUAAAGAGAGAUUUUAAUACUAAAACAACACAAAACUUUCACAAAAACUUUACCUUCUGACAGCUGUUGUCUAAGGAAAUCUCGAUCUUUUGUUAAAUCUUCUAUUUUCUCCUGCAGAUACUGACAUUUCACCUUCCAUGUGUCAGUCUCUGCCUUGGCUUUAGCCAAAGCUAUAGACACAGUGGGCACUGCUUCAGUGGGUUUAUCUAUAAAGAAAAAAAUAAUGAAUAAUAAAUAAUAAUAAUAGGCUAUUUAACAACAAAAUCAUCCUGAUUAUGUUAACGUUACACACACAGAGGGAGGGAGAGGGGGUUGGAGGGACUCUAAUGGUUUACUUAGUAAGUAAAAAUCGUUUAGUUUUCUCAGUUAUUUCUACUAUUCAAGCCUGGAUCAACCGUUUUCUUGAUGGUUUCAUUUGUAAAACUUAAAUAGUAGCUAUCUAAAGUUAGCUAGUUGAUAAACGUGCAUCAUUUACCGGAUUUUUCUGUGCGUUCAUCCCGAGACAGUUUUUUCUUCUGUCUCCCUCUGGUCUGAUGGUUUAAAUUGUCAUCCGUCAGUCCACUUUCCAUCAUCAAACUUGCUUUGGCAUUCGACACCUGUUUAUCAGUAUCCGCUGGAUAACCGCUGGCCGCUCUAUUUAUUUAAAUAUUUUUUUUUGCCGCAAAGUGCUGAAGGAUUGUGGGUAUGGUAGUUUUUCUUUAAAUGAACUGCAGAAAUUAAGCUUCUUUUUAACGAAGCUGAAAUAACAAUGACUGAUGGCUUCGAUAAAAUAACAGCAUUUAACAAUUUGAAAGUGAAUAAUACGUUUGUCUUGUUUUGAUUUAAAAUUGUAUUGCUAAAAAUCUCUCGGGAUUUGUACUUCCGGAAGGAACGCUACUUCCUGAUGAAAAGCCGAAAAGCCCGCUCAACUCCCUCGCAAAUUAACAGAUGCAACGGCGAACAUCACGUACAAUCCAGUGACACAUCAUGUGACAUGGCUCCAUCAUUAAAUCGAAAAUUGCUGUCAAUGAUUGAAGGACGUCAAACAAAGAGGAAGAAAUUGAAGUUGAUUAAAUGGCUCCAGAAAAAAAAAAUUGCUUAAAGCUAAAAUGAAGUGCAAUUUAUGCCAACAUAAAAUGAAGCUGACUCAUAAACCCAACAAAGCAGACAACUAUGUUUGGUCCUGUACACGAAACAGACAUAAGGGAAGGUUCAAGUCAGUGAGGUAUGGAUCACUUUUUGCCAAGUCAAAGUGUAAUUUAUUCUCAUGGAUGAAGUUCAUAUAUCGGUUUGCUCAAGGCCUUCAGUUGAGACAAAUCGACAUGAUUGAAGAUGGCAUUGCUGGAAGCUCACGUACACUCAGCAGCAUGGCCAAAAAAGUUCGAGCUAUUUGUAAAGAAUCCAUGAAGUUGUAUGCCAGAAGGAAGGGCCAAAUGAUAGGACAACCCAGGGAGUUUGUUAUGAUUGAUGAGAGCAACUUCCGUCACAAGCGAAAGCAGGUGCAAGUGUUGAUUAUCUGUCAACAAAUCAACGUUCUGCUAACUCCACCCUUUAGUACCGGACUACUGUGCUAGGUACCCUAAUGAAAGGGUCUCAAAAAAGUGGUACGGUAUGGUUCGGUUCAGAAUUAGGGUAUCAUUCACAUCUUCUGACAAUCGAAACUACAAAAAGUGAGUACCGUACUGAACUGUACUGUGCCGUACGGCUCAGUGGAAAUGAGGCAUUCUAUACAUUUGGAAGCUUUGUAUUUUUAAAUAUUGUAUAGUUGUAUACUUGUAUUUCAGUAUGGACGUGGAAGGUUCGCAAAGACUUGGCGUAGAAGAAAGUGGGUCUUUGGGAUGCUGGGGGUUGCACCAAGAAAUAGCAAGCCUAUUCUGAAACUCGUUCAUCGAAGGUCCCGGAACCAUCUUAUCCCACAUAUUGUACGACAUGUGCAUCCUGGAAGUUCCAUACUUAGUGAUGAAUGGCGUGCUUACAGAGGGGUACUAACCGAUCUUGGCUAUAACCAUUUUCCUGUGAAGCAUAAUCAGUGUUUUGUAGAUCCAAUAACAGGCAGCCAUACACAAAAUCUGGAAAGAGCAUGGUUAACUUACAAAGGAAAAAUAUGGCGUCUUAGAGGAAAUAGGACAGAGGACCUACUAAAACAACAUCUAAAACUGAUAGAGUGGACUUACUGGCUUGGAAAUCGGCACAAAAAUGGUCCUCUUGGAAGACUGUUGAAGGAUAUUCAUCGAAAAUAUCACCUUUAAAACACAAAACUGAUAACUCCCGAAGCCCAUUAUUUCUCCAGCCUAACUUGACCAUGCUGGCUCACUCCCAGAUCAUCCAUAUUUUUACUCUUUUGAAACACCUCUUCCAUAGUCCCAUUCAUUGAUACAAACAGUAUAUAUAUUUCUAUAUUUCUUAUUUUGUACAUUUUGUAAUUCUGCUGCAGAUGAUUUUUCUUGCUUCACACACUACAGUUGUACAAAUGAAUUUCCAAUUGUCUUUUUAUUAAUUUGUAAUAUGUAUACAUUGUUAAUUGAUACCAUUGUUAUGUAAUGUAGUAAAGGUUUUGAAA